This 433-nucleotide ribosomal RNA is filed under the name uncultured bacterium. RNAcentral describes it as "partial 16S ribosomal RNA". It matches the Rfam family "Bacterial small subunit ribosomal RNA", at positions 29 to 507 of the family's 1533-position model. The record is from RNAcentral.
AACGAACGCUGGCGGCAUGCCUAACACAUGCAAGUCGAACGAGACCUUCGGGUCUAGUGGCGCACGGGUGCGUCACGCGUGGGAACCUGCCCUUAGGUUCGGACUAACUCCCCGAAAGGGGUGCUAAUACCGGAUAAUGUCUUCGGACCAAAGAUUUAUCGCCUUUGGAUGGGCCCGCGUUGGAUUAGCUAGUUGGUAGGGUAAAAGCCUACCAAGGCGACGAUCCAUAGCUGGUCUGAGAGGAUGAUCAGCCACACUGGGACUGAGACACGGCCCAGACUCCUACGGGAGGCAGCAGUGGGGAAUAUUGGACAAUGGGCGAAAGCCUGAUCCAGCAAUGCCGCGUGAGUGAUGAAGGCCUUAGGGUUGUAAAGCUCUUUUACCCGGGAUGAUAAUGACAGUACCGGGAGAAUAAGCUCCGGCUAACUCCGUG